AACGAACGCUGGCGGCAUGCCUAACACAUGCAAGUCGAACGAGACCUUCGGGUCUAGUGGCGCACGGGUGCGUAACACGUGGGAAUCUGCCCUUUGCUUCGGAAUAACAGUUAGAAAUGACUGCUAAUACCGGAUGAUGUCGAAAGACCAAAGAUUUAUCGGCAAAGGAUGAGCCCGCGUAGGAUUAGGUAGUUGGUGGGGUAAAGGCCUACCAAGCCGACGAUCCUUAGCUGGUCUGAGAGGAUGAUCAGCCACACUGGGACUGAGACACGGCCCAGACUCCUACGGGAGGGAGCAGUGGGGAAUAUUGGACAAUGGGCGAAAGCCUGAUCCAGCAAUGCCGCGUGAGUGAUGAAGGCCUUAGGGUUGUAAAGCUCUUUUACCAGGGAUGAUAAUGACAGUACCUGGAGAAUAAGCCCCGGCUAACUCCGUG
RNAcentral lists this ribosomal RNA (433 nucleotides) under uncultured bacterium. Its description in RNAcentral is "partial 16S ribosomal RNA". It matches the Rfam family "Bacterial small subunit ribosomal RNA", at positions 29 to 507 of the family's 1533-position model. The record is from RNAcentral.